GGCGUGGGGCGGGCUAGCAAAGUGACAUGGCAGGCUCUCAAUGGCUAUGUGUCAACUCAUGCCCCAAACCCCAGCUCCCAACUCAAGCCCCACCAUACCCCACAGUCUAAGAUCACUUCAUCCUCCUCUGAGAUAGUUGGCAAAAAGUUAGAACCUAGAGAAAAGGCGUUUAACUUUUGGUGUUGUUUCUGAGCGUUUGGAUCGUGAACCUACC
Long non-coding RNA from Helianthus annuus (common sunflower), 214 nucleotides. RefSeq lists it as uncharacterized. The record is from RefSeq and is a predicted model, not a curated record. NCBI's taxonomy places the organism in Eukaryota, Viridiplantae, Streptophyta, Magnoliopsida, Asterales, Asteraceae. The transcript has 3 exons.